GCCGGGAUGGCGGAACUGGUAGACGCGCUGGACUCAAAAUCCAGUUCUGGCAACGGAGUGCGGGUUCGAUUCCCGCUCCCGGUA
Molecule: transfer RNA, 84 nt
Filed under: Saprospiraceae bacterium
Lineage: Bacteria; Pseudomonadati; Bacteroidota; Saprospiria; Saprospirales; Saprospiraceae
Description: tRNA-Leu
Rfam family: tRNA
About the family: Transfer RNA (tRNA) molecules are approximately 80 nucleotides in length. Their secondary structure includes four short double-helical elements and three loops (D, anti-codon, and T loops). Further hydrogen bonds mediate the characteristic L-shaped molecular structure. tRNAs have two regions of fundamental functional importance: the anti-codon, which is responsible for specific mRNA codon recognition, and the 3' end, to which the tRNAs corresponding amino acid is attached (by aminoacyl-tRNA synthetases). tRNAs cope with the degeneracy of the genetic code in two manners: having more than one tRNA (with a specific anti-codon) for a particular amino acid; and 'wobble' base-pairing, i.e. permitting non-standard base-pairing at the 3rd anti-codon position.
Source: RNAcentral